This 70-nucleotide non-coding RNA is filed under the name pig gut metagenome. RNAcentral describes it as "Glycine riboswitch". It matches the Rfam family "Glycine riboswitch aptamer", at positions 8 to 87 of the family's 94-position model. From Rfam's summary of the family: This family represents the bacterial glycine riboswitch. Glycine riboswitches usually consist of two metabolite-binding aptamers domains with similar structures in tandem. The aptamers cooperatively bind glycine to regulate the expression of downstream genes. The record is from RNAcentral.
AAUACGGGAGAGAGGCCGCGCAGGCACGCCGAAGGGGAAUUGCGAAAGCUCUCAGGCAAAAGGACCGUGU